RNAcentral lists this unclassified non-coding RNA (178 nucleotides) under Funneliformis sp. Its description in RNAcentral is "partial internal transcribed spacer region". The stretch from base 1 to 46 matches the Rfam family "Eukaryotic small subunit ribosomal RNA", at positions 1786 to 1831 of the family's 1831-position model. The record is from RNAcentral. Lineage: Eukaryota; Fungi; Glomeromycota; Glomeromycetes; Glomerales; Glomeraceae.
AAGUCGUAACAAGGUUUCCGUAGGUGAACCUGCGGAAGGAUCAUUAAUGAUUUUUAAAGCGAGUCGAGCGUUUAAGCGAGGCUUGCGAAAAAUAUUUAAAACCCCACUCUUUUUAACUUUAAAAUAUAAAUCAUGAUAAAAAAAAAGAUCACUUUCAACAACGGAUCUCUUGGCUCUC